UUUGGCCACCUAUUAUUGCAGGGUUGACUGGAUUUGAAUAUAAAAGCUCGUGACUUAUAUUCUGAAACAUGGAGGGAGUUUAUUUCUCGACAAAUUGCUACCAGCAUCGGUUUUUUGCGUUCCAAGAAGUGCUUGAUUGGCGAGUUUUCAUCCUUGGCAAUUUUAUUCUCGUUUCCUUUGUCAAUUGCACUUAGUGUUCUGUUCCCCUUCAAUGAUCAGCAAAGGGUACGUGAUGCUAUCUUAUUCUGAUACAGGUGCUGCAUCUUGCACUUGUACAAGUAAGCAUUUAUUCUUAUACUUAUAUGCAAAACACCAAUCUGAAAAGUUAGUUUAUUGACAAAUGUUCCUUUGACAGUGCAUUGCUGACCCGGCAUUUAGUUAAAACUUCUGUGGAAUCUUCUUCCAGGGUAAGAAGUCUAUCUUGUGCAACCUCUACAUAACAUCAUAAUAACAUGUUUCGAUGUGAUUAAAUUUAACUCCCUCAUGUUUUCUUUACAGGGAUUAAGCAUAGUCUGGUCACUGAAUAUUGGAUUCAGCCUGCAUCUUUGAGUGAAACAUUUGCAUCGAAUCAGUACAGACUGUUAUUGGCAAUUGUCUCCGUUUUGCACUUGAUCUGUAUUUUUGGUGACAACAUCAUUUACCCAAAAGUUCUGAAAUGAAUCCUAUAAUAGAUUAGAUGAAGUAGAUUUUAUUUCAGUCCUGACAUCUUUGGUCACUGUGGUUCUACCUAGUGAUUAAUGCUAUUGCAUUGAUCAAACAGUUUGAUGGGACCUGAGAAGUGGCAGUAUGAUCUGUGGUACUUGUUUGUUUCUACCACCUUUGUCUUGCAACCAUAACAAAAGUGGGUCUACUACUAAAUAAGCCAGUGCAGUGCUUCCAUCAGAAAGUUUCUGUUUCUGUGACCUUUGUCUUGCAACCAUAACAAAGCCUGGGUCUAUUACUAAAUAAGGCUGUGUCACCCUUCCAUCAGAAAGUUUCUGUUUCUAUGCCCUCUUCUGACAUGGCAGAAUAUUGACGGUGGAUUUUUCUGGACCAGCAGGAACUUGUUAAUAU
Molecule: long non-coding RNA, 1053 nt
Filed under: Medicago truncatula (barrel medic)
Lineage: Eukaryota; Viridiplantae; Streptophyta; Magnoliopsida; Fabales; Fabaceae
Description: long non-coding RNA (MTRU_LNC002942)
Source: RNAcentral